GUAUUUCAGCAAUGCAUUCUCAAGAAGGAAGAGAUUAAUGAACCUUACCCUCUUACAAUGAACAACACAUGGACACUCUCAGGAUGAUCCCUUUGCUUUCAUUAAGAGUUCCAAGAUGUGGGUCUGAUGGACUGGGGUGUGAAAUGUAACAGCUAAUGGUGUACUUAAGCUAAGACUGUCAGUCCCAAUAUUCAAGAGCAAUGCAUUCUCAAGAAGGAGGAGAUUAAUGAACCCUACCCUCUUACAAUGAACAACACAUGGACACUCUCAGGAUGAUCCCUUUGCUUUCAUUAAGAGUUCCAAGAUGUGGGUCUGAUGGACUGGGGUGUGAAAUGUAACAGCUAAUGGUGUACUUAAGCUAAGACUGUCAGUCCCAAUAUUCAAGAGCAAUGCAUUCUCAAGAAGGAAGAGAUUCAUGAACCCUACCCUCUUACAAUGAACAACACAUGGACACUCUCAGGAUGAUCCCUUUGCCUUCAUUAAGAGUUCCAAGGUAUGG
Saccostrea cuccullata (small rock oyster) is the source of this 499-nucleotide long non-coding RNA. RefSeq lists it as uncharacterized. The transcript has 5 exons. Lineage: Eukaryota; Metazoa; Mollusca; Bivalvia; Ostreida; Ostreidae. The record is from RefSeq and is a predicted model, not a curated record.